CGGAAUUCCCAUUUAGUAAUAAUAAUGAUUGUACAGCGGCGCCCUCUCGAUGAUGGAGACACCCCGGGUCAAUUGAUAUUCAGUAUAUUGAGGGUUCACACCUCACUGGACUUCUGGAGCCAGAGGUUUCGGUCCACUAUCCAUCUCUAUGUAUGUAGGCAACCUGAUCUCGGUCCGAGAUGUGUUCAGUGACGUCACGGUGCGUUUCCUCUCGCGGCGCCUUCACCUUGACAUUUGUAUUGGUUUGUCGAACGUGUCGCCACUCGCCAGCGUAGCGAGCAGUGAGCCACACAGGAGGGGCGCGGAGAACACGAUCCAUGUAGCUAUACCUGUUCAGUGUUCUGGUAUUACUUAUAUUCACCGACGUUUGUUAUGGUAUAUAGAACAGGAAGACUACCAUUCCACAGUAUAUCAUCUUGUAUUAAAUUUCGCAUGAACCAGAUCCGAAGUUCUAGGACGAAAGAUGCAACAAAGAACUGCGAGUGUACUAUUCAAAACGUGUGGUUAAAGUGAAAACAAUACCAGCAGCUGACCGACGAGGAAGAUGACUCACGGUUAUAUAACGACAUUACGGAGGAGUCUUGUGUAACGACGGGCUGAUAUAACGGCUGAGGUGACGGAACGGAACACAGCUUAACGGCACUAAGGAACUUAUAAAUAUGCCGAAUAUGGAGGACGCGGGUACACAGCCACUGAUGAUAGAUAGGGUGGAGAUGUAGGGCAGUGCAGCACCAGCAUUAAAGAUCUUCUAUAUAAGUCAUGUCUGAACCAAGAGUGCAUCAUAUUUCCAGCACAGUGAUUCAGAGUCCAAGGUCUAACAUAUCAAAUCUCUUUCGUUAUCAUAAAAUAAAAGGACUUUUAGAGCACAGCACACGUCUUAACGACGCGUCACCCCGUUUCCUUUAAACAGCAGCGUGGAGACGAAGUGAAUAAUAAAAAAAAGAAAGUGCCUUUACCGUACGACGGCACACUUACAAACAAACAUACAUACAUACAAACACACAAACAGACCGAACAAGACAAAACUCAUUAUAUGUAUUGUCUGUCGCCUCGCUGGACGGGCGAUGGGAUGUUAUCAACAGUUGUAUGUGAUAUUGAUUGGAUAAAUAUUAUGUUGAAUUGAUAAGCUGCGAGCUGAUAACGGCAACGUCUUCUCAUGCAGCUCGGUGACUUGAGUUCUGUACAUACACACCUUGUGGACAGUGGUACAUGUAUAGAACAGUAAGAAAUGAACUUCAUAUAACUCAGGAAUGAUCUCCUUAUACUGACAGGGUGUGUGUGUGUAUCUGUCUUCAGUCAUCACAGACAAUGGCUCGCUUGUCAGCGAAUGUGGCGUCUGGCGAGUGGCAGGGUCACAGCGUUGCGUGACACUGCCACACAGAUGACUACCCCUCCACCGUCCGCGACAGGGCUGACGGAGUGACGUCAUAUUGUAUACACUAAUAUAAUUGUUCGGCCGAAUGAGACGGGUUCCUAUAGUGUGAUACAAAGAAAAUUCCACAGCAUGGUAUAUAUAUAAUAAAUUGACAUAUACCAUCGCGUGUGUGUGUGUGUGUGCAAGGAGAGCGAGGGUACAUCGACCCCGUAGUGACGCAAGAUCGACAACUUUCUAAUCGGGCAGCGGCAUGCAGCGGCUCCGUACGGGCUACGUCACAGACAGCACAGUUCGGGGACAAGCGAGCAGCAUACAUAGGAUCUCUCGACAGACACCAAGACUGGCGGACUGGUACUCACUGGUGCUAACAUACAACAACGCACUGUAUAGUGGCCUGUCCAUACUUUGAUGACGAGUGUCUCGAUGAGUAUACUUACGUCUUCUCAUCACGAUAAAGUUUCACAAACUUCAAUAGGUCAUCCUAUUUUUAUAUUUAAAAAGUAAUUUCAAUAUAAUUUUCUGGUAACAACGUCCGUUUCAUCUUACAUCUAGCACUCAUCACGGAAAGGACAUUAACAGAUAAGUUACGGAAAUGAUCUCAUAAAGUCAAGCAAAACUCUAUUCUGACAUCGUAUUUAUAUUUAUAAAUAUAAACAGUCAGAGUUACUAUUUGUAUUUUUUGUGUCUGUUUCAGUCCUAAGAGCAGAGCGGCCUUCAGUGGAACCUUUCUCUUUAAGCACAUUGACUUCAAGUACGCCCGAAUAUUUGUUCAGCACCGACAGACGAAUACCUUCCGAGAGCGAGUAUGUCUCCGAUACUAAAUACGCUGUGAAGUAACCGCAGCUGUCAUAAGAACCGUUUUAUUAUUCAACGUGAUUCUCAAUACAGAUCCUGAUAUUUUAUUUAGAUUAUCUGCAAAUAACAUACAUACGAGUUAACGGAAUAAUAUGUCAGAAAUUUUGCUACAAAAAUCAAUGAUAGAUCGCUAAUCAGUAAGAGUUGUAGUCUUUGUCUUGUAAUGUUUCGCGUCAUAUAAAUAUCACAGAAAGGCAUACGUUAAGGCAUGUAGAGCCGAGUGACAGGUCUGGGUUCGACGCCCGGCCUUAGCCCAGUGGAGUGACGUGAAGGGGCUCCGCAAUACGCAGCGGCCGCUCACACAGAAGACACGCUCGGUGGACACAACACACAACACAUUAAAACACUUUUUGUUACUUUAUGUGUGUCAAACGAUCUUAUUCGCGCGUUAUAUAACACACUCGUGUGUUCGUCGUUUACUUUCAUCAAAUGUUUCGGAGCAUGUUCGCAGAAAAUUUAUCGAAAAGGAAAUCAUUCUGUUUUUGAGGGCACGAGUCCGCUCGCUAAUAUUUCAAUAAUUAAAAUACUGACGUUAAACAGGGUACUGGUCGUUCUUUGAAUUCAUUUUUGUUUUAAAUUCCAAUUAUAUUCGUUUAAUGUUCAUGUUUCCGAGAACAACGAAUGUGACAUCAUAUUAAACUGUCUAAUCAGAGUUUAAAUCGUCUAUAUGUACUGAGUUAUCCCCAGAGCCGUUCAGGACGUAGCGGCUGUUUAAUUUAUGUAUUACAACAAACAAUCAUUUUCCUCAACGUUUAACGAUUCGUUCAACGGCACGUUUUCUAUAUCUCGAUUCAAAUCACGUAUUUACUGUCACAGAAACAUUGUCACCAUUAUUUCUGACAAUGCUUCUAUCAGCCGGAGGCCAGGAAUACUUUGAGCGUGACUCUGCGUUGACUCCGACCUUCGACACAUGCAAAUUGGAAGAUAAACAAAUGCAACAGUUUCUUAAUAUGAACCAACAGCCAACACAGCUAUAUUUCCCAAUCGUUAAUUACCGAGAGUGACCGCAUGUUUGUUUCUGUCACACAAUGUUCAUCCAACAUUAAGUUCUACUGAAGUGUCGACGGUAUGGACAGUCGUUAUGAGAGUUUGUUUAAUUAUUAAAACUAACAUAUUAUUAGUGUGUGUGAUCCACGAGGAAGAUAUAUCUUGUGAGUAUUUACAUCACAUUGUUAAUUAGUCAACACAGAACAUUAGUGAUGUGACGACUACGUUACAUGACGUACCUAUAUGACUGUAUUAUAAACAUGUGUAUAAUAUAGCCAGGAGCCAGGAGCCAGGAGCCAGGAACUCGCCGACUACAAUAUUAACGAAACAAUAAUGGGCACGAACUUUUGAGUCUCGGCCUCUCAACGUGUUUAUCGUCGUGCCCGUUUAAACUGUUGUUUUACGUAUCGAUGUAAUCACUUUGAAAGUUCUAACAAAAUAUACCUUAACGACGCUUUACAAUUAUUUUUGUAACAUUCUCUUACAUCAAUACUAGUGAGUAGUAUUGAACGUUCUCUAAGUCCAGGUGAAGACUUGUUGUUUAAUGUUUUAUUAACAAACAUCAUGCAUAUGAAAUAUAUCCAAAGAUCAUUCUGUGAUACUCCUAACAUAUACUACAGCGUGGCCAGGACGUGUGACGUGUGACGUGUGACCUCAUCGGUAUAUGGCAACAGUUGAAGGUCUUCGCUCCAUAAACAGAGAACUUGUCUUUAUUUAAAUCAAACAGCAGUUUUAUUUGUAUGUAGAUUUAGGUGAUAUAUUCGUAUGGAGUAUUUUGUAUAAUAGAAGUGAGCGGUGAGUCAGUCAGUCAGUCAGUCAGUGAGUGAGCGAGUCUGACCUUGACAAAGACAAAGAAACACACACCGCGCUAUAGGAGCGUGAACACAUGGAACCACACAGCGAGGGACGAGCGUAUACGAUGAUAUGAGGCGAGUGCAGUGAAACACUAUACGUCCAGGACACCGGCGAACAGACCAGCGUGUGUGAUUCAAUAGUACAGCUUUCAGGGAAUGACGGGGGCUGAACGACUGACUGAGAAAAUUAAACAAAAAUAUCGAAAACGACAGAUGACAAUGAUUAGUUUACGAGAAACUAGAGAUUAUAGCACAAGUACAUAGAUGUAUUUUGUAACUUUUGACUUUUAAAAUGAUACACGUUGUAUGCGGAUAAAAUAAAUGCUUUCUUUAUUAAUGAAUAUACUAAAGACAGCAAACUCUAUAAGACUAAAAUUAUAUUAACUCACAUUUAAUGAGUGUUUUAUGGCGCGAGGUACUGAGUUAAAAAAGACAUCAAAUUGAUAGUGCCGAUAGCGAAAUCCCAUAGUAUAGCAGCAGCGACAAAAGCACACCUUAACAGUCAGCGCGUACCGUGUGGAGCAUUCAAAUCAGUUAGCGAGCACCGCGACUAACGAGCAUUAAUAACAGAUCAGUAUUCAGCCGGCGCUUCAUCAAUAGUACCACAACCUUGGCGUAGAGGAUGAUAACAUGUGGCCUUGGAGGAAAACGCUCCUCACAUACACCACACACAGAUUACUUUAAAUAAACAUUACUAUUAUAUGACCACGCGGGGCUUACACAACUUAAUAACUUUGUAUUAAAACUCAUAAUGUCUUCUUAAAUAAGACCCGAGUGCGUCGGAACAGAACCCAGAACGUUCACACUCAGUAGUUUUGUCAUCUUUUCUAUAUUAGCCUAUGAGUAACUUCAAACAGCGGCUCCUCACGCAACCCAUGUUUGACAAGUUUACAAAAUAAACACGGACAUGCGGUACCCAUACUUACUAUGUUUAGAGAGACUGUGUGUUUUGGUCAUCGGAAAUACGAGGAAUGUAGGUAUUACUCGGAAAAUAUACAUUGAUCUUUUUUGAUAUUAAAAUGUAUUUACGAGCUCUUUCAAUUAUAACGUCCUCGUUAUGGAAUUUAAUCGAAACGUCAAUUAGCGACGCCAUCUACACAUAAACGCUCGGCGUGGUGAAUUUGAGACACGUUUAAUAUAUGGGUAUAAUAAACACAGAGAAUAUAAACAACUGUGUGGUGAUCGGUGGACGGUGAUCGGUGACGCAGACGACAUGCAACCUGCGAUACUGUUACAUCAUAUAUAUUAACAUUUAACAAUAUCUAAUUAUUUCAGACAUCCCAUUGAAAUGUAUUUAAUGUAAAUAAUUAUAUGAAAUUGGUAGCUUCGAUUGAAUUCAUCACAGGCGAAGUCGGGGCCAGAGUGUUGUACAUACAUACAUACAAUAUGACUUAUAUUCAACCGCAACUUUUAAUGAACCCACGCAAGCGAUCUUUAAUUAUUGUACAUACAUAAUAAUGAGCAGUUUUAUAAGACUUCCAAGAAUCCGCUCAUAUUUAUUGAAUAUAAGAGUAAGUGAUGAUGACGACACCGACUCCAGGCACAAGGCUCUCGGCCACCAGGAAUGUCCAAAUAUCUGUCAUGGAAACUGUCUCCUUGUACGGUUUCUUUCAUAUGAUCCGUUAAACCGAUCAUGGAACAUACGUUCUGCCUUAUCACAUGAUGCGCAGUUAACAUACUCAGUUAGUUAACAAUAUAUUUAGAGCAUUCCACGGGAAUUUCAUUUCAAAGCAAUUAAAAUACACUUUGUUUGGAUUGUUGACACUUUCAGAUAGAAACUAAAAUAAAUAAUAAUAGUUUUACAAUUCUGACAUAAUGUAAGGUCCGAAUGAACAUAGGAGUCCGUCAAAUGUUACUAAAGACACAGCAGGUCUGAAGAGGUGGCAGCCAGGGAGGGCAGGUUAUAAAUAUGUUUGUGUGAUGCCUAACAGUGGUGUUGCAAGCCGUCCGUCACGCAUCUGAAGCCGAUCGUAACUUCUCCAUCGAGGUUGUCGAAUGUCAAUGCCAAGGUCGCCGGUGGCCGCUGAUAAGCUUCAUGGAGCAUGUUUAAUGGCAUUCCUAUGUUAUCGAAGAUUGCAUCACUCGUACAGACUACAGAGCGAGCCACGUGCUCACACGACACACAGACGACGAUCACGCUCUCACUGCACCAUACCAUACUUGGAAAUUUAAUACAAAUAUUGACAAAUUAAAAAGACAGAGAAUACAGCUUGCCAUUUAGAAUACGGGUCGAUUCUGAGGAUGGAGGAAGAAGGAGGAGUAGGCGAGAUUAGAAUCGUGACCGGAGUGUGAACUGAGGAGGGUAGUAGCGGAGCGGUGGGCUGGACGGACGUGGUCAGUAGGAGAUUACGUAUUGAUGUGAAAUUAAUUUGGAACAUAUUUUAAAAACACGAAACCUGAGUGAAGUCUGCGGGCGACAUUGAAGUUUUUAAUGUGAAUAAAAAAACAAUUGUCCCGCUAUGUGUCCUCGGACUUGGAAACACUGCCAGCUACGAGGAAAACAUCUUUGAUAUUAAAACGUUACAUUAUAGCUGAAUAUAUUAACAUAAUUCAUCAGUACGUUGAGGAAACAGAGACGAGGUUACUAAAAUGAUCAUUCUUGGAACAGGAGUGCGGUGAACCACCAAGCUGACGACUGUUGAUAAGCUGAGAACCUUUCGAAGAAGCCAUCACUUAUAUCGCUUGGUCUCGUCCUUAUCUCACAUCUGCACCGCGUCCGACACUCGGAGCUGGUAUCAGUAUGCGCACACGCACUCCACCACCGAUUACAAUUAUUUACGCUAAAAGAA
Molecule: long non-coding RNA, 6860 nt
Organism: Danaus plexippus (monarch butterfly)
Lineage: Eukaryota; Metazoa; Arthropoda; Insecta; Lepidoptera; Nymphalidae
Exons: 5
Source: RefSeq, a predicted model, not a curated record